GUCGAGCGAACAGAUGAGGAGCUUACUCCUCUGAUGUUAGCGGCGGACGGGUGAGUAACACGUGGGCAACCUGCCCUAUAGUUUGGGAUAACUCGCGGAAACGUGAGCUAAUACCGAAUAAUACAUUUCAUCUCCUGAUGGAAUGUUGAAAGAUGGUUUUUCGCUAUCGCUAUAGGAUGGGCCCGCGGCGCAUUAGCUAGUAGGUGAGGUAACGGCUCACCUAGGCAACGAUGCGUAGCCGACCUGAGAGGGUGAUCGGCCACACUGGGACUGAGACACGGCCCAGACUCCUACGGGAGGCGGCAGUAGGGAAUCUUCCACAAUGGACGAAAGUCUGAUGGAGCAACGCCGCGUGAGUGAAGAAGGUUUUCGGAUCGUAAAACUCUGUUGUAAGGGAAGAACAAGUACAGUAGUAACUGGCUGUACCUUGACGGUACCUUAUUAGAAAGCCACGGCUAACUACGUGCCAGCAGCCGCGGUAAUACGUAGGUGGCAAGCGUUGUCCGGAAUUAUUGGGCGUAAAGCGCGCGCAGGCGGUCCUUUAAGUCUGAUGUGAAAUCACGUGGCUCAACCACGUGCGGUCAUUGGAAACUGGAGGACUUGAGUGCAGAAGAGGAAAGUGGA
This 624-nucleotide ribosomal RNA is filed under the name uncultured bacterium. RNAcentral's name for it is "bacterial SSU rRNA". It matches the Rfam family "Bacterial small subunit ribosomal RNA", at positions 61 to 665 of the family's 1533-position model. The record is from RNAcentral.